CCGAUCUCAUAAGAUGCGCCGCUGCAUUAUUUUUUAAGAAUCCCAGAAAGAAUCGAUCGUUUAGCCCGUGACGGGUGGUGCUUAGACAGGCUACGCGGGAGAAAUGGAGACGGCGACUGUUGGUCUCAGAUUAUGGCAUUUCCAGACCAUUUUCGGUGAUGGUUUCGCCGUUGAUAGGUGGAUCCGGUGGUGGAAAGUGGUUUUCGGGUUUGGGAUGGCUGAAUCUGGCGAGGGACGAAUGAUUCCGGUGAAAAAAUUCAUCGGAAAACUUAAA
RNAcentral lists this long non-coding RNA (274 nucleotides) under Capsicum annuum. RNAcentral's name for it is "long non-coding RNA (CANN_LNC007303)". Lineage: Eukaryota; Viridiplantae; Streptophyta; Magnoliopsida; Solanales; Solanaceae. The record is from RNAcentral.